UGGGGAAUAUUGCACAAUGGGCGCAAGCCUGAUGCAGCCAUGCCGCGUGUAUGAAGAAGGCCUUCGGGUUGUAAAGUACUUUCAGCGGGGAGGAAGGCGAUAAGGUUAAUAACCUUGUCGAUUGACGUUACCCGCAGAAGAAGCACCGGCUAACUCCGUGCCAGCAGCCGCGGUAAUACGGAGGGUGCAAGCGUUAAUCGGAAUUACUGGGCGUAAAGCGCACGCAGGCGGUCUGUCAAGUCGGAUGUGAAAUCCCCGGGCUCAACCUGGGAACUGCAUUCGAAACUGGCAGGCUAGAGUCUUGUAGAGGGGGGUAGAAUUCCAGGUGUAGCGGUGAAAUACGUAGAGAUCUGGAGGAAUACCGGUGGCGAAGGCGGCCCCCUGGACAAAGACUGACGCUCAGGUGCGAAAGCGUGGGGAGCAAACA
This 427-nucleotide ribosomal RNA is filed under the name uncultured bacterium. Its description in RNAcentral is "partial 16S ribosomal RNA". It matches the Rfam family "Bacterial small subunit ribosomal RNA", at positions 355 to 774 of the family's 1533-position model. The record is from RNAcentral.